Molecule: ribosomal RNA, 749 nt
Filed under: uncultured bacterium
Lineage: Bacteria
Description: bacterial SSU rRNA
Rfam family: Bacterial small subunit ribosomal RNA
Source: RNAcentral
AGGCAGCAGUGGGGAAUAUUGCACAAUGGGCGGAAGCCUGAUGCAGCAACGCCGCGUGCGGGAUGACGGCCUUCGGGUUGUAAACCGCUUUCGCCUGUGACGAAGCGUGAGUGACGGUAAUGGGUAAAGAAGCACCGGCUAACUACGUGCCAGCAGCCGCGGUGAUACGUAGGGUGCGAGCGUUGUCCGGAUUUAUUGGGCGUAAAGGGCUCGUAGGUGGUUGAUCGCGUCGGAAGUGUAAUCUUGGGGCUUAACCCUGAGCGUGCUUUCGAUACGGGUUGACUUGAGGAAGGUAGGGGAGAAUGGAAUUCCUGGUGGAGCGGUGGAAUGCGCAGAUAUCAGGAGGAACACCAGUGGCGAAGGCGGUUCUCUGGGCCUUUCCUGACGCUGAGGAGCGAAAGCGUGGGGAGCGAACAGGCUUAGAUACCCUGGUAGUCCACGCUGUAAACGGUGGGUACUAGGUGUGGGGUCCAUUCCACGGGUUCCGCGCCGUAGCUAACGCUUUAAGUACCCCGCCUGGGGAGUACGGCCGCAAGGCUAAAACUCAAAGGAAUUGACGGGGCCCCGCACAAGCGGCGGAGCAUGCGGAUUAAUUCGAUGCAACGCGUAGAACCUUACCUGGGUUUGACAUGGAUCGGGAGUGCUCAGAGAUGGGUGUGCCUCUUUUGGGGUCGGUUCACAGGUGGUGCAUGGCUGUCGUCAGCUCGUGUCGUGAGAUGUUGGGUUAAGUCCCGUAACGAGCGCAACCC